GCCGCCAGUGUGAUGGAUAUCUGCAGAAUUCGCCCUUUNUGCCCUGUGGUGGGGAUAACCUCGGGAAANUGAGAAUAAUACCCCAUAGANNGGAGAUGCUGGAACGNUCCCCCAGUUGAAACGGGCUUUACNGCCACAGGAUGAGUCUGCGGCCUAUCAGGUUGUAGNGGGUGUAAAAGGACNUANUAGCCUUNGACGGGUACGNNCCUUGGGAGAGGUUGCCCCGGAGAUGGAUUNUGAGACAUGAAUCCAGGCCCUACGGGGCGCAGCAGGCGCGAAAANUUCACAAUGCGGGGAACCGCGAUGAGGGGAAUCCAAGUGCGUGCGCAAAGCGUACGCUUUUCUUAUGCCUAGAUAGCAUUGGGAAUAAGGGCUGGGUAAGACCGGUGCCAGCCGCCGCGGUAACACCGGCAGCCCGAGUGGUGGUCGAUUUUAUUGGGCCUAAAGCGUCCGUAGCCUGCUCGGUAAGUCCUUGGGUAAAUCAUCCAGCUCAACUGUAUGACUUCCAGGGGUACUGCCGGGCUUGGGACUGGGAGAGGCUAGAGGUACUCAUGGGGUAGGGGUAAAAUCCAGUAAUCCUGUGGGGACCACCAGUGGCGAAGGCGUCUAGCUNGAACGGCUCCGACGGUCAGGGANGAAGCCCAGGGGCCCAAACCGGAUUAGAUACCCGGGUAGUCCUGGGUGUAAACGNUGCGGGCUUGGUGUU
This 706-nucleotide ribosomal RNA is filed under the name uncultured archaeon. RNAcentral describes it as "partial 16S ribosomal RNA". It matches the Rfam family "Archaeal small subunit ribosomal RNA", at positions 69 to 775 of the family's 1478-position model. The record is from RNAcentral.